UUCGGUGAUGAUAAAAAGACACGGAUCAGGCAUUCCUCGUCCUGAACGCUCAUGUUGAUUCCGUAUAUAAUCAAGUUUCAGCCUUGUCUGAUC
This 93-nucleotide small nucleolar RNA is filed under the name Verruconis gallopava. RNAcentral's name for it is "Ochroconis gallopava A. fumigatus snoRNA Afu_455". It matches the Rfam family "A. fumigatus snoRNA Afu_455". Lineage: Eukaryota; Fungi; Ascomycota; Dothideomycetes; Venturiales; Sympoventuriaceae. The record is from Rfam by way of RNAcentral.